This 2903-nucleotide ribosomal RNA is filed under the name Enterobacter hormaechei. RNAcentral's name for it is "23S ribosomal RNA". It matches the Rfam family "Bacterial large subunit ribosomal RNA". Lineage: Bacteria; Pseudomonadati; Pseudomonadota; Gammaproteobacteria; Enterobacterales; Enterobacteriaceae. RNAcentral also lists the same sequence under 1 other name. The record is from RNAcentral.
GGUUAAGCGACUAAGCGUACACGGUGGAUGCCCUGGCAGUCAGAGGCGAUGAAGGACGUGCUAAUCUGCGAAAAGCGACGGCGAGGUGAUAUGAACCUUUGACCCGUCGAUGUCCGAAUGGGGAAACCCAGUGUGUUCCGACACACUAUCGUUAACUGAAUACAUAGGUUAACGAGGCGAACCGGGGGAACUGAAACAUCUAAGUACCCCGAGGAAAAGAAAUCAACCGAGAUUCCCCCAGUAGCGGCGAGCGAACGGGGAGCAGCCCGGAGUCUGAAUCAGCUUGUGUGUUAGUGGAACGGUCUGGAAAGUCCGACGGUACAGGGUGAUAGUCCCGUACACGAAAAUGCACAGGUUGUGAACUCGAAGAGUAGGGCGGGACACGUGGUAUCCUGUCUGAAUAUGGGGGGACCAUCCUCCAAGGCUAAAUACUCCUGACUGACCGAUAGUGAACCAGUACCGUGAGGGAAAGGCGAAAAGAACCCCGGCGAGGGGAGUGAAAAAGAACCUGAAACCGUGUACGUACAAGCAGUGGGAGCACCUUCGGGUGUGACUGCGUACCUUUUGUAUAAUGGGUCAGCGACUUAUAUUCUGUAGCAAGGUUAACCGUAUAGGGGAGCCGAAGGGAAACCGAGUCUUAACUGGGCGUUAAGUUGCAGGGUAUAGACCCGAAACCCGGUGAUCUAGCCAUGGGCAGGUUGAAGGUUGGGUAACACUAACUGGAGGACCGAACCGACUAAUGUUGAAAAAUUAGCGGAUGACCUGUGGCUGGGGGUGAAAGGCCAAUCAAACCGGGAGAUAGCUGGUUCUCCCCGAAAGCUAUUUAGGUAGCGCCUCGUGAACUCAUCUUCGGGGGUAGAGCACUGUUUCGGCUAGGGGGCCAUCCCGGCUUACCAACCCGAUGCAAACUACGAAUACCGAAGAAUGUUAUCACGGGAGACACACGGCGGGUGCUAACGUCCGUCGUGAAGAGGGAAACAACCCAGACCGCCAGCUAAGGUCCCAAAGUCAUGGUUAAGUGGGAAACGAUGUGGGAAGGCACAGACAGCCAGGAUGUUGGCUUAGAAGCAGCCAUCAUUUAAAGAAAGCGUAAUAGCUCACUGGUCGAGUCGGCCUGCGCGGAAGAUGUAACGGGGCUAAACCAUGCACCGAAGCUGCGGCAGCGACACUAUGUGUUGUUGGGUAGGGGAGCGUUCUGUAAGCCGUUGAAGGUGUGCUGUGAGGCAUGCUGGAGGUAUCAGAAGUGCGAAUGCUGACAUAAGUAACGAUAAAGCGGGUGAAAAGCCCGCUCGCCGGAAGACCAAGGGUUCCUGUCCAACGUUAAUCGGGGCAGGGUGAGUCGACCCCUAAGGCGAGGCCGAAAGGCGUAGUCGAUGGGAAACAGGUUAAUAUUCCUGUACUUGGUGUUACUGCGAAGGGGGGACGGAGAAGGCUAUGUCAGCCGGGCGACGGUUGUCCCGGUUUAAGCAUGUAGGCGGAGGUUCCAGGUAAAUCCGGUACCUUUUAACGCUGAGGUGUGAUGACGAGGCACUACGGUGCUGAAGUGAUAAAUGCCCUGCUUCCAGGAAAAGCCUCUAAGCAUCAGGUAACACGAAAUCGUACCCCAAACCGACACAGGUGGUCAGGUAGAGAAUACCAAGGCGCUUGAGAGAACUCGGGUGAAGGAACUAGGCAAAAUGGUGCCGUAACUUCGGGAGAAGGCACGCUGAUAGGUAGGUGAAGCCCCUGCGGGCGGAGCUGAAAUCAGUCGAAGAUACCAGCUGGCUGCAACUGUUUAUUAAAAACACAGCACUGUGCAAACACGAAAGUGGACGUAUACGGUGUGACGCCUGCCCGGUGCCGGAAGGUUAAUUGAUGGGGUUAGCGGCAACGCGAAGCUCUUGAUCGAAGCCCCGGUAAACGGCGGCCGUAACUAUAACGGUCCUAAGGUAGCGAAAUUCCUUGUCGGGUAAGUUCCGACCUGCACGAAUGGCGUAAUGAUGGCCAGGCUGUCUCCACCCGAGACUCAGUGAAAUUGAACUCGCUGUGAAGAUGCAGUGUACCCGCGGCAAGACGGAAAGACCCCGUGAACCUUUACUAUAGCUUGACACUGAACACUGGUCCUUGAUGUGUAGGAUAGGUGGGAGGCUUUGAAGCGUGGACGCCAGUCUGCGUGGAGCCAUCCUUGAAAUACCACCCUUUAAUGGCUGGUGUUCUAACGUAGACCCGUGAUCCGGGUUGCGGACAGUGUCUGGUGGGUAGUUUGACUGGGGCGGUCUCCUCCCAAAGAGUAACGGAGGAGCACGAAGGUUGGCUAAUCCUGGUCGGACAUCAGGAGGUUAGUGCAAUGGCAUAAGCCAGCUUGACUGCGAGCGUGACGGCGCGAGCAGGUGCGAAAGCAGGUCAUAGUGAUCCGGUGGUUCUGAAUGGAAGGGCCAUCGCUCAACGGAUAAAAGGUACUCCGGGGAUAACAGGCUGAUACCGCCCAAGAGUUCAUAUCGACGGCGGUGUUUGGCACCUCGAUGUCGGCUCAUCACAUCCUGGGGCUGAAGUAGGUCCCAAGGGUAUGGCUGUUCGCCAUUUAAAGUGGUACGCGAGCUGGGUUUAGAACGUCGUGAGACAGUUCGGUCCCUAUCUGCCGUGGGCGCUGGAGAAUUGAGGGGGGCUGCUCCUAGUACGAGAGGACCGGAGUGGACGCAUCACUGGUGUUCGGGUUGUCAUGCCAAUGGCACUGCCCGGUAGCUAAAUGCGGAAGAGAUAAGUGCUGAAAGCAUCUAAGCACGAAACUUGCCCCGAGAUGAGUUCUCCCUGAGACUUUAAGUCUCCUGAAGGAACGUUGAAGACGACGACGUUGAUAGGUCGGGUGUGUAAGCGCAGCGAUGCGUUGAGCUAACCGAUACUAAUGAACCGUGAGGCUUAACCUU